AUUGAACGCUGGCGGCAGGCCUAACACAUGCAAGUCGAACGAGUGGCGGACGGGUGAGUAAUGUCUGGGAAACUGCCCGAUGGAGGGGGAUAACUACUGGAAACGGUAGCUAAUACCGCAUACCAUCGGAUGUGCCCAGAUGGGAUUAGCUAGUAGGUGGGGUAACGGCUCACCUAGGCGACGACCCCUAGCUGGUCUGAGAGGAUGACCACCAACACGGGAACGGAGACACGGUCCAGAUUCCUCGGGGAGGCAGAAGUGGGGAAUAUUGCACAAUGGGCGCAAGCCGGAUGCAGCCAGGCCGCGUGUAUGAAGAAGGCCUUCGGGUUGUAAAGUACUUUCAGCGAGGAGGCGGUACUCGCAGAAGAAGCACCGGCUAACUCCGUGCCAGCAGCCGCGGUAAUAC
This 406-nucleotide ribosomal RNA is filed under the name uncultured bacterium. RNAcentral describes it as "partial 16S ribosomal RNA". It matches the Rfam family "Bacterial small subunit ribosomal RNA", at positions 29 to 526 of the family's 1533-position model. The record is from RNAcentral.